AAUGGCACCAAGAUGGUGUCUUCUGCCUUGCAUGAAGCACUAAAAUUCCAUAGCACAUUAGGAGCAUCAGCACUAAAAUCACAUGAAAAAUGCCAUUCAUAUCACCAAACAAUUUCAAGUUUGCAUUAACAAUAUAUCAUAUGAAGCAGAUUCUCUCUAGGGAACAAGUUUGAAAAGCUCUCUGAAUGACAAACACACUAAAAUCUACCAAACAUGAUGAUGAACUUCUUGUUUGCAGUCAAUUCCCAAACACAAAAUUGUCCUCUGCAGCAAACCCACGUGAGAAGCAAGUCAGUUAACUCACAUGUCACUACAUGUGUAAAGUACAUGCUUGUAACCGUAAAAUUGAAUACUAAAAGCAGCAAAAAUUAUUGAAAUUGACAAUAUUCAAAAAAUUAUAAAAUCCAACGAAAAAGGCAGAAAAUCUUUCCUCACAAUAUUGAAUUGCGGACACUUAAAAACAAAAACAAAGUUCAUCAGCUUCAGUAGAGAGGAUCUUAUGUGUGUGAAUAGGAAGCUCUAGGUUGAGCUUAAAAGUUGUCAACUUCAGAGGUAGCACAAUCUACAGUUACAUAUUAAUAAUUGUAGCCAUGGAACAUAUAAUUGAUGUUCUCAAAGUACAUAAUAACAUCAAAUUCUGCUACUAACAAGCAAUAACCCUUUUUUUUUUUUGCUCCAAAUUGAACCAAAUUAAUCUCACAACAGUAGAUAGGAAUACCCUUAACAGUAUCCAAGUGCAGCACCAAAACAAAAUCAGUGCAUCAAAAAAAUGUAGAACCACUAAAGGAGCUUGUUCCAAAAAGGCCAACACUUACGUGCUAUCCAAAUGGAUGCAAUACUUAGAAGGAAAGUCAGUCAAUCAUGUUAACAAAACUUUGGGCACAAAAAACAGGUGGGGACAUUAUUGACAGCUAGAAGCUUCAAUACGCAUGCAGGUGUUACUGAUAUCAUGCAGAAAGUGUCAGAAAAGUGGUGGGAAUGACACUUGCACUGCAAAAGUAAAAACGAUGAGUAGACUGAAACAACAAACAGUGUUUGCACUGGCAAUUAUUGCCAGCAUCUUUCUUAUGAAAAAGAGAACCAAAAAAAAUGCAGAUUUCAUUUGCACAAAAGUUAUAUUAAAAUUAAAACAGAAUGAAAUACUUGAAAAUGUAAAUUUGAUAUAAGGAUAUUUGAUUGAUAUGGUAGAUCAUAGAUGAACAAGGGACAAAACGAAAGUAGCAUUUAGACGGAAACAGAUUUGGAGAAAGAAAUAAGUAACAUGUGUUAGCUUCCCUUGAAGGAAAAGUAGGAUUGAUGAAAAUAUUCAAGAAAUUACAAUCACAUGUUUGAAGCCUGGUAAGUAUCAUGCGAACACAAACCACAAGAUGGGUGGUAUUAAUCAACACUAAAUUCUCUUCAAGAAAUGCUAGUAGUAGUUACUCUGCAUGCGUAUGAUCUGCCAUACACAUGGCCCUAUCCCAACCUCCCUUCUAUGGCACCACGCCCAAGCAGGGCUUUCCCUAAAGUUGUGAUCCUAUAGAUAAGCAGUUAAGAUGGUUUGGAAGCAAUAUGGACACGUCGCGCAGGGCAGAUAAAAGUUUAUAUGCAUGAUUUAAGAAUUCAAAACUAUUCCAUGUUUAAGAACCUGAAGAAAAGAAAGAGUAUUUUUGAGAUUAGUGUUGAGAUGAUUGAAAUGGCAAGAUAUAACACAAUGAAUGACCAAUGUGAACUCCUUUGUACAUAAAGAUGAAAAGAAUCUUAGAGGAAAAGAAUGGAUCUUUAGAUGUCUAAUCUCCAGCAUGAAAAAUUCAGUCAAUGAAAACAAUAUUAACCUUUAAACUUUUAUAAAGGGCAACAACAUAUGUAUAGAAAAAAAGAAUUCUUAUAAAAAAUGAUAUGAAUUUCCAAGUGAUGAUGGCAAAAUGGAUAUUGGGAUAUCCUAUCACAAAAUCUAACAAUGAAAAAAUGGGCAAAUGGAGGCAAAGAUGUCUUUCUGCAUUUUGUUUCCUCAAGGAAACCUAACCAAACAUACAUGAAAAGAAAAAAGUAUAUGUGCAUGAUGUUUGUGUGCUAGUGUUUCAACUAGGAGAAAACACUGGCUGCCGGGUACAAAUUAAGCUACAAGAAUUCAAAAAUUCUACUAAGGGAAAACAAAAGGGUGCCUUUAUUCACAAGCUGUCCACUAAUUUGAGAGAUUUGUUCUCCUUAGCCAGUAAUAAGAUAUCGUGUAAGAUUGAUAAAAUAAUGCUGAGGUUCCUAAGGUAACAAGUCAAUGCAAAGAAAAAAACAAGAGAAAAUUUGACUUCUAGCCUGUUAAACAUUGUUGUGACUGCACGCAAAAGAUGGGUGUCGAAAUGAUGUAUGAUCUGAUUUUUCUAAACGUACACUAAAGAUGAUUGACUCUGACUGGAGGAGAAUGCAAACAUGAACUAGCAAAAGUUGUUGGCAGGUUCAGCUUGUCUCAUGCUGAUCCAAUAGCAAGGCCUACUGAUUUCUUUGUUGUUAAUUUCUUUUGGGCCAUUUCCUGCAUAUUUAGAUGAGUUGAUACGGUACUUUUUUGAGCAGCUUAAGGAAAUUAAUAGAAAGAAUAGGGGUCUAUAUGGCACCACCUUUUUUGCAUAAGUUUCUAGAACGAAAUAACACAUUUAAGAACUAUAAAUUGUGCUCUUACUAAUAGAAUGUCAAUGAACACCUUAAGUAACAAUGAGAGUAAANNN
RNAcentral lists this long non-coding RNA (2699 nucleotides) under Elaeis guineensis (African oil palm). RNAcentral describes it as "long non-coding RNA (EGUI_LNC031868)". The record is from RNAcentral. Lineage: Eukaryota; Viridiplantae; Streptophyta; Magnoliopsida; Arecales; Arecaceae.